UGUCUCCGGAAUUCCGGAAUUAAUGUUCCAUAUUUGACUCUAUUUUUUGUAACAUCACAUCACUUCCUACUUUGUUUUGAAAACAUUGUGACAAUAAUUUCAUGUUCUUUCCUCACUGUCUCGUAACGUGUUUUUACCUUAUACUAGAAUGAUGCACUACGCACCCAUUUGAUGUCUUUUCGGUGCCUUAUAUGAAUAAAGUUGUGCAAUUAAAA
This is a long non-coding RNA of Mytilus californianus (California mussel), 215 nucleotides long. RefSeq lists it as uncharacterized. The transcript is spliced from 2 exons. Lineage: Eukaryota; Metazoa; Mollusca; Bivalvia; Mytilida; Mytilidae. The record is from RefSeq and is a predicted model, not a curated record.